RNAcentral lists this long non-coding RNA (1209 nucleotides) under Apteryx haastii (Great spotted kiwi). RNAcentral describes it as "lncRNA (ENSAHAG00000007728.1)". The record is from RNAcentral. Lineage: Eukaryota; Metazoa; Chordata; Aves; Apterygiformes; Apterygidae.
ACACCCGUCCCCCUUCGACAGCUGGCGGGGGCCGAGGUACCCCCGGCACCCUACAGCCGGGGCGACCCCCGCCCUCACCCCCAACCCCCCCCCUCCCAACACACACAGUUCGCGGGGGUGGAGGCCGGCUACGCCUGUUUCUGCGGCCACGCGGGUGACGUGCGCCGGGGCCGCCGGGCCGGGGCGGCCGAGUGUGACCAGGUGUGUUUCGGCAAGGCCAGCCAGCUGUGCGGCGGCGACGGCCGCCUCGCCGUCUACCACGGUGAGUCCGGCGCGGUGACGGCGGCGCGGUGACAACGUCGCGGUGACAAUGUCAUGGUGAUGCCAUCGCAGGGAUGCUAAUGCGGUGACACUGCCACGGUGACGCUGUCACGGUGACGCCGUCACCCGGCGUUGUCACCGUCACUCCCUUCCCCGGCUUGCUUCCCCUGGGUUGCCCCCAGCCGCCCUACCAUCGCCCGGUUGCCGUGGUUACCCCGCCCCGGCGGUUGCCGUGGUUACCCCGGUGUGGCCCGCCCUCGGUUACCAUGGUUACGCUAGACCCAACCUGCUACCUGGUCACCGUGGGGCUGCGGUUGCCAUGGGGAUGUGGUCGCCGUGGUUGCCAUGGGUUGGUGGUCACCAUGGGUUGGUGGUCUCCAUGGGUCCAUGAUGGCCAUGGGGUGAUGGUCACCAUGAGGUGGGGGUCUCCAUGGGUCCACGACUUGGUGGUCACCAUGGUGUGAUGCUCUCCAUGGGUCCACAUUGGCCAUGGCUUGGUGGUCACCAUGGUGUGGUGCUCUCCAUGGGUCCACAUUGGCCAUGGGUUGGGGGUCACCAUGGUGUGGUGGUCUCCAUGGGUCCAUGAUGGCCAUGGGGUGAUGGUCACCAUGAGGUGGGGCUCUCCAUGGGUCCAUGACUUGGUGGUCACCAUGGUGUGGUGCUCUCCAUGGGUCCACAUUGGCCAUGGCUUGGUGGUCACCAUGGUGUGGUGCUCUCCAUGGGUCCAUGAUGGCCAUGGGGUGAUGGUCACCAUGAGGUGGGGGUCUCCAUGGGUCCACAAUGGCUGUGGGGUGAUGGUCACCAUGAGGUGGUGGUCUCCAUGGGUCCAUGAUGGCCAUGGCUUGGUGGUCACCAUGAAGUAGUGGUCUCCAUGGAUCCACAUUGGCCAUGGCUUGGUGGUUGCCAUGGUGUGGUGCUCUCCAUGGGUCCACGAUGGCCAUGGGAUGG